UGCAAGUCGAACGGUAACAUUGGUGCUUGCACCAGAUGACGAGUGGCGCACGGGUGCGUAACGCGUAUGCAAUCUACCUUUUACUAGAGUAUAGCCCAGAGAAAUUUGGAUUAAUCCUCUAUAAUAUCUUUUAAUUUCAUGAUUUUAAGAUUAAAGUUUUAACGGUAAAAGAUGAGCAUGCGUCCUAUUAGUUUGUAGGUGAGGUAACGGCUCACCUAGACUACGAUAGGUAGGGGCCCUGAGAGGGGGAUCCCCCACACUGGUACUGAGACACGGACCAGACUCCUACGGGAGGCAGCAGUAAGGAAUAUUGGACAAUGGACGAAAGUCUGAUCCAGCCAUGCCGCGUGCAGGAUGAAAGCCCUACGGGUUGUAAACUGCUUUUAUACAGGAAGAAACACUCCGACGUGUCGGAGCUUGACGGUACUGUAAGAAUAAGGAUCGGCUAACUCCGUGCCAGCAGCCGCGGUAAUACGGAGGAUCCAAGCGUUAUCCGGAAUCAUUGGGUUUAAAGGGUCCGCAGGCUGUUUUUUAAGUCAGAGGUGAAAUCCUACAGCUCAACUGUAGAACUGCCUUUGAUACUGAAAAACUUGAGUUAUUGUGAAGUGGUUAGAAUGUGUGGUGUAGCGGUGAAAUGCAUAGAUAUCACACAGAAUACCGAUUGCGAAGGCAGAUCACUAACAAUAUACUGACGCUCAUGGACGAAAGCGUGGGGAGCGAACAGGAUUAGAUACCCUGGUAGUCCACGCCGUAAACGAUGGAUACUAGCUGUUCGUCUAACAUUGGUUAGAUGAGUGGCUAAGCGAAAGUGAUAAGUAUCCCACCUGGGGAGUACGGUCGCAAGACUGAAACUCAAAGGAAUUGACGGGGGCCCGCACAAGCGGUGGAGCAUGUGGUUUAAUUCGAUGAUACGCGAGGAACCUUACCAGGGCUUAAAUGUAGUGGGACAGGUCUAGAGAUAGACCCUUCUUCGGACUCAUUACAAGGUGCUGCAUGGUUGUCGUCAGC
RNAcentral lists this ribosomal RNA (1008 nucleotides) under uncultured bacterium. RNAcentral describes it as "bacterial SSU rRNA". It matches the Rfam family "Bacterial small subunit ribosomal RNA", at positions 56 to 1059 of the family's 1533-position model. The record is from RNAcentral.